Long non-coding RNA from Danaus plexippus (monarch butterfly), 871 nucleotides. RefSeq lists it as uncharacterized. The record is from RefSeq and is a predicted model, not a curated record. The transcript has 4 exons. NCBI's taxonomy places the organism in Eukaryota, Metazoa, Arthropoda, Insecta, Lepidoptera, Nymphalidae.
AACGCCUUUUAAAAAUUUAUUUAGUAUAAAAUUUCCACUCGAGAAGAAAAUUGCAUUCAAAAUUAAGAUUUAUCAAAAAAAAACCGUAAUAAGCGAAUAGAAUUUCGGGACUCGUCAUCGGAUCGGCAAUUCAGCAGCUAAAUAAUAGUCAAACUGAAACCUACAGCGGAUAAUGAUAGUGUUGUCCCAACAGGCAUUGUCGUGAUGAGAGGCCAAACGACUUGUUUAGUAUCCUGCAUUCUUUUUCUUAUAUGCUUGAAGUGCAUACUUUAAGAAUACAUUAAAUUCAUCUGCUAUGAUUACUAGAUGAGGUCCUUUAUCCCCUCAUUCCAACUUUUUCCUUUACAAAUUCUUCAUAUAAUUUAUUCUUUGUGUUACGGAGAAAUUUAAUCUUCUUAACUAAAUAAAAGUUUGUUCUCGGAGAUACAGUGAUAUCCAUCGUUAAGGCAAGAGUACACUUUUUAGUAUGAAAUAAUUAGAUUUCUGAAAUAUGGUAAUGUCAAAUGUUAAUGAUAAUAUUAUUGUUUCUUUUUAAGUCCAAUCAAUAUAUGCAUUAAUUUGGCUAAAGCAACUUUAAACAAUAAUUGAAAGGCUCAGUUAAUAAUCAUUAUAAUAAAUAACCGAAGAGAUUAAGUAGGUAGGAAUAUAACAAAUGCAUAACAUUGUAUAUAUCGGAUUUUAUUACAAAUUCAUUGUUUUAAAGACAGGACGCCAGCCUCGCUGACGUCUCUAAUGUCACUUGUUUCAGUAAGUUCCAGAUAUUUUAAAAUGAAACUUCAAUUCUUCUAAAUGUUCUUGUAUUUCUCGAAGGUUCUUUAUGCUCCGCACUCGCUGAACUCUGCAGUCCCCUGUCGUGCGUCCAGAAGUCAUA